Alnus glutinosa is the source of this 241-nucleotide long non-coding RNA. RefSeq lists it as uncharacterized. The record is from RefSeq and is a predicted model, not a curated record. NCBI's taxonomy places the organism in Eukaryota, Viridiplantae, Streptophyta, Magnoliopsida, Fagales, Betulaceae. The transcript has 3 exons.
UUCUUCUUCUUCUUCACAAAAACUGAAACGCUCUCGACUCUCCACUGUCACGCAGCAUGCUCUUAAUUCUUCUUCUUCUUCUUAGUUCUUAGUUCUUAGUUCUUCUUCUGUCAGGCUCUCCACUAUCACCCAUGACAGAUCUGGCAGAAUGAGCAAAAGAAGCAGUCUAGUAAACGGUUAGUAUGUAUGGAUGGGGAGUUUUCGAGUUCGAUAAAAUUUUCCUAUAAGAAGCAAGCCAAAG